This 253-nucleotide ribosomal RNA is filed under the name uncultured bacterium. RNAcentral describes it as "partial 16S ribosomal RNA". It matches the Rfam family "Bacterial small subunit ribosomal RNA", at positions 524 to 776 of the family's 1533-position model. The record is from RNAcentral.
UACGAAGGGGGCUAGCGUUGCUCGGAAUCACUGGGCGUAAAGGGUGCGUAGGCGGGGCUUUAAGGCAGGGGGGAAAUCCUGGAGCUCAACUCCAGAACUGCCUUUGAUACUGAAGAUCUUGAGUUCGGGAGAGGUGAGUGGAACUGCGAGUGUAGAGGUGAAAUUCGUAGAUAUUCGCAAGAACACCAGUGGCGAAGGCGGCUCACUGGCCCGAUACUGACGCUGAGGCACGAAAGCGUGGGGAGCAAACAGG